AACAAAUAUGGAUGGAACAGCAAAGCUUGGGGAACAGGACCUUAACAGAGCAAAGAGGCAGGUAUAAAGAUUAGAAAUGGUUUAGUGGUCAGUGGGGGAUUGGGUUAUGGUAUAUUUAACUCAGCCAGCUUGUGUAAAUUGGGCAUUUUAAUUAGUAUUUGUCUUCAGGAUUGUGUAGAUUAUUUUUUUGUCUUGCAGAUGGAGCCUGCAAUGCCGGAUGGGAGAUUGGAGGCCUUGCUGGCUAGGACCAGGGCAGCAGAACAGGAGCGCGGCAUGGAAUGGCUGCAGGAGCAGCUCGGAUCUUUGGUGUCAUCCGCUACUACUACAUUGAAGGUGCAACAGCCCAUGAGGCAGAUCAGGCCGCCUCAGACUUUGAGCCCCAGCGAUGUUCCCAUAUGGAAACGGAGGAGGAGUCCAUCACGAAUGAUCACUGCAUCCAGCGGACCGGAGGGCCACAGGAGGUGAAGUUCGCUUGUGGGAGCUGUAUCGUGGCGGCUGGUGCACAACAAGGACUGGGUUGCUGAGUUGGAGGCCGGCCUGAGUGAUGGAAUUCUGCACCGCACGAGGGCUGGCAGGUACACUACAGGAAAGGUGACGGCAGGCUCCCGAGGCACAGGGGGCUCUGCCAGGAGAAGGAGCUAUGCGGAUGGCGGCCUGGGGGCACAGGGUGAAUUGCCCCCCAAUAGACAAAAAUAUAUUUAUUGUGAAAGGCGUGAGGAAAUGGCUGGGGGUCCGCCUGAAGUAUAUGACAGCAGUGGAGCAGUUAUGACUGGGCAGGGCUCAGGUACGAGGAGGGGCCUAUCGGCUUUCCUGCCUCAUGCAGGGGUUGUUGGCACAGAAGUCAGAGAUAACAGAGGCCACACCACAGAGAGCAUCAGCAGGUCCCCCACCAUGGCGCCCAGUAGCGGGGUUGUCAGGCGCGAGCACAAUAGCUGGUCCGGGAGCAAGCAGCACAGUGAGUGGCACCAAGGGCCAGUGCAAGGAUUUUUAGCUACACAGGCGAAGACGCAUUUUGACGCCCCCCUUUAAAAAAAAAAAAAAAGCAUCUUCACCUGUGUGUCUCGUAACCCCCCUUUUGCAUUUUUUACCCUCUUUAUUGUAUUUUAUCCCCCCUUUACUAUGUAUUACACCCCUUACAACCCCACUUACAACCCCACUUGUGUAUCUCAGUCCCUUUGUGUGUCUCUUUCUUCCCCCAGGGGCUGAGAGGGGUGGACAGGAGCUGUGGUGGGGGGCAAAUCAGGUUGCAUGGGCUGAGAGAGGGGAAAUGGGCGGUUGUGAGGG
This 1284-nucleotide long non-coding RNA is filed under the name Pelobates cultripes (western spadefoot toad). The record is from RNAcentral. Lineage: Eukaryota; Metazoa; Chordata; Amphibia; Anura; Pelobatidae.